AUAAUAACUAGUGAAUAAUCUUUGUUAUGUUUUAUCUCUUUUGUUAAAAUAUAUAUGUGACCUUCCUUCCUUCCUUCCUUUCUUCCUUCCUUCCUUUCUUCCUUCCUUCCUUCCUUCCUUCCUUCCUUCCUUCCUUCCUUCUUUCUGUCUUUCACUCAGGCUGGAAUACAGUAGUGUGAUCAUAAUUUAUUCAGCCUCGAACUUGUGGUCUCAAGCAAUCAUCCUGCCUCAGCCUUUGACUAACUGGGACUACAGAUGUGUACCACCAUACCAUGUGACAAUAUUGACAUGGUCCCUGUCACCAUCCACCUCGACUUCAUGUAUCUUCUGCUUCUACCCGUGUAACAAGUACAUAUUGACUAGUACUUAAAACAACCUCAAAAUACGUGUAUUUUCUCAAAAAUAACUGCAAGAGUAAUGGGCAUUGAGAUAGUAAGGUUCUUAUUCCUCUUUAUUUAAAUCUGUAAAGCAAAGUGGCAAAUUAAAACUGAGAUACUAUUAUAUUCAAUUCAUAACAUAAUUUGAUACAAAUGAAAACUUUUUUUACAAGGUAACAAAGUAACUGAAAAUGAGUAGAUCCAGCGCAAGUGAGACAAUGUAACCAUCUUGAGGCAUUAACCUAGGAGGCCACUGUUGUGAAAACAGAAAAUGUGAGGAACACGAGGAUUGACUUAACUAUGGGGCUGCAAACUUAAUAUUUUAAGUCAUGUUACUCAUACACUAAGUAUUGAGGUAUUUUUAUGUUUUUUCAAAACUAAAUAAAUUCACUGAAACUUAAUCAGCCUGAAUAGCCAGAAUGUUUUAAAUAGAGCAUUGUAAAUUUUGAGACAUCAUUAUUUCUACUUUUUUUUUUUUUUUUUUUGCUAGGGUCCCAAGUUUUGCUAUAUUCAGGCUCAUGGUACAGUAGUUUUGUUGUGAGUUUACAUUCCUAAUUAUUGUGUGUUAUCAUGAUGCGUAUUAUUCCACUCAUGAUUUUCCCUAUCCUCCUCCUCUUCAGCUAUUUUUCUCUCCUAAUAUCAUUAAAAAGCAAAAAUUAAACAAUUGAACAUAUAAUAAUAAUUAAUGCAUCCAUUACUAAUAACUCCAUCAUCAUCCAAACCAU
Molecule: long non-coding RNA, 1102 nt
Filed under: Pan paniscus (pygmy chimpanzee)
Lineage: Eukaryota; Metazoa; Chordata; Mammalia; Primates; Hominidae
Description: lncRNA (ENSPPAG00000044976.1)
Source: RNAcentral